UACGAAGGGGGCUAGCGUGGCUCGGAAUCACUGGGCGUAAAGGGUGCGUAGGCGGGUUCUUAAGUCAGAGGUGAAAUCCUGGAGCUCAACUCCAGAACUGCCUUUGAUACUGAGAGUCUUGAGUACGGGAGAGGUGAGUGGAACUGCGAGUGUAGAGGUGAAAUUCGUAGAUAUUCGCAAGAACACCAGUGGCGAAGGCGGCUCAGUGGCCCGUUACUGACGCUGAGGCACGAAAGCGUGGGGAGCAAACAGG
Molecule: ribosomal RNA, 253 nt
Filed under: uncultured bacterium
Lineage: Bacteria
Description: partial 16S ribosomal RNA
Rfam family: Bacterial small subunit ribosomal RNA
Source: RNAcentral